This is a non-coding RNA of Pangasianodon gigas (Mekong giant catfish), 73 nucleotides long. Lineage: Eukaryota; Metazoa; Chordata; Actinopteri; Siluriformes; Pangasiidae. The record is from the annotation of a GenBank genome assembly.
GUUGUGGUGCUUCAGUGGUUAAAGCUUUGAGUUAUAGAUCAGAAGGUCAUGUGUUCAAAUCCCAGCACCAAAC